UAUAUACAUAUAUAUAUAUAUAUAUAUAUAUAUAUAUAUAUAUAUAGAGAGAGAGAGAGAGAGAGAGAGCAGGACAUCCAAUAAACUUGUAUUUAACAAGUUAUGGCUAACCUACAAUAUAUCAAUGUUUAUAGAGGAAGUGGUGGCCCUUUGUACUAUAUUAAAAAUUAAACAAGCCUGAUAGAAACAUCCAAACAUGAUAUAGAAAUUUGAAAUGAACUGUCUUGAUUAAAAAUGGCAACAUGUUUAAUGAUCUAGUAAAAAGAGCAGAAAACAAAUCCCUGUAAAAUAAUCUGGAGAAAAAUAAAAAAAAUCCCUAUGAUAUUUGAACUAGACCUAGUUGCACUUAAAUUUACAUGUUCUACUGAAGAAAAAAGGCAGCCCCUUAUUAUCAACAAGUGGGAACUCUGUUAACCAAACUCAAUUCCAUAGCUCCCACUGACCAGCCACACACAGAUAAGGAAGGGUUCCAUAGCUCCCACUGACCAGCCACACACAGAUAAAGAAGGGUUCCAUAGCUCCCACUGACCAGCCACACACAGAUAAGGAAGGAUUCCACAGCUCCCACUUACCAGUCACACACAGUUAAGGAAGGGUUCCAUAGUUGCCACUGACCAGCCACACACAGAUAAAGAAGGGUUCCAUAGCUCCCACUUACCAGUCACACACAGAUAAAGAAGGGUUCCAUAGCUCCCACUGACCAGCCACACAGAUAAAGAAGGGUUCCAUAGCUCAACAUUGACCAGCCACACACAGAUAAGGAAGGGUUCCAUAGCUCCCACUUACCAGUCACACACAGUUAAGGAAGGGUUCCAUAGCUCCCACUGACCAGUCACACAUAGAUAAGGAAGGGUUCCAUAGCUCCCACUUACCAGUCAGACACAGUUAAGGAAGGGUUCCAUAGCUCCCACUGACCAGCCACACACAGAUAAAGAAGGGUUCCAUAGCUCCCACUAACCAGCCACACACAGUUAAGGAAGGGUUCCAUAGCUCCCACUGACCAGUCACACAUAGAUAAGAAAGGGUUCCAUAGCUCCCACUGACAAGCCACACACAGCUAAGGAAGGGUUCCAUAGCUCCCACUAACCAGUCACAUACAGAUAAAGAAGGGUUCCAUAGCUCCCACUGACCAGCCACACACAGAUAAGGAAGGGUUCAAUAGCUCCCACUGACCAGCCACACACAGAUAAAGAAGGGUUCCAUAGCUCCCACUGACCAGCCACACACAGAUAAGGAAGGGUUCCACAGCUCCCACUUACCAGUCACACACAGAUAAAGAAGGGUUCCAUAGCUCCCACUAACCAGUCACACACAGAUAAAGAAAGGUUCCAUAGCUCCCACUGACCAGCCACACACAGAUAAAGAAAGGUUCCAUAGCUCCCACUAACCAGUCACACACAGAUAAAGAAGGGUUCCAUAGCUCCCACUGACCAGCCAUACACAGAUAAGGAAGGGUUCCAUAGCUCCCACUUACCAGUCACACACAGUUAAGGAAGGGUUCCAUAGCUCCCACUGACCAGUCACACAUAGAUAAGGAAGGGUUCCAUAGCUCCCACUGACCAGCCACACACAGAUAAGGAAGGGUUCCAUAGCUCCCACUAACCAGUCACACACAGAUAAGGAAGGGUUCCAGAGCUCCCACUGACCAGCCACACACAGAUAAAGAAGGGUUCCAUAGCUCCCACUGACCAGCCACACACAGAUAAGGAAGGGUUCCACAGCUCCCACUUACCAGUCACACACAGAUAAGGAAGGGUUCCAUAGCUCCCACUGACCAGUCACACACAGAUAAGGAAAGGUUCCAUAGCUCCCACUGACAGAGAAACCAUCUUAAGUAAAAGUACACACAAAUGAAGAUUAUGGAAGUGUAGUUAAUGGCUCCUUUUCACCAGUGCAAGGAAAGUAGGUGUGAUCUUUCCUGCAGUGACCAAUUGGCAGUGAAUCAAGCUGGAUAACAAUGAAUUCCAAAACUUCCUGUGACAGAAUAACCACAUUUUGGCAGGUCUGGGGCUUUGUCCCUGUACACCCAUAUUAAGGUGGGCCAUGGCACUCUUACCCCUGCUUACAAUAACUAAGAGGUAAGUGUACUUUGGAGUAGACAGACCACACUGAGAUGCUGCAAAGUUCGUCUUCACCUGUAAACAUUUACAAUUACAGCCCUAACAUUAUAAGGGUGCCAUUUACAUACACAAGUGGCAUCUGCAAUAAAUGAAUGUUUUAUGGGGAAUGUAAACUACCAAGCAUGACCCUUUUGUAUGUUUGAACCAUUGGAAAUGUAUUUGACUUUAAAGUAGUUCUUCAUAAAGAAGCUACAUUUAUAUUGCAUUUCUCAUCUAUCUUGGGGACUAUAGUUACAGUACAAACCUUUUCCUGUGAAAAUAACACACUACAUUAUUGUUUCUUUAAAACAUAAAAUAAAUAUCUCUUUCACAUGACUAGAAAUAUACUGAUAGCCUUGCUUUGAGUUUAUGCCAGCAUAACUUUUACAAUGAACAUUUAAUUUUACAUUUUAAAUAAACAAAGGCACAUUCUUCUUUAGGAAAGAAAAGGUGAAAUAAACAUAUGUUGUGUGGGGUGACUGGAGGGAAUUACAGGGAAGAGGUAGGCUGUAGUGGUCUACUACAUCAAAUUAUAUAAAGUCUAUUAGUUUCCUGAUUAAUCGAUUUAUUGUAAGUCAUAUAACUUUAUGCAGCUGCAGUCAGUAGAAGUGGAGGUUUCAGUAACUUGUGGUAUUCCAGUUAUUUUAUUGUGCAAUAAACUUUAAUAAAAUAUUUAGUACCUUAGUUUACUGUCUCCCAUGAAGAUUCUGAAGUGCUACAAACAUCUCAUAUUUAAAUUAUAUCAGUUAACAAGAUUAUUAUGUGCCCACAUCAAUACAAAUUAAGUUUAUAUAUUCAUAUAGUUCCUGCAGAGCAAAUGAAUUCAUCUUGAUAAAUUAAUACUUUUAUGAUUUUUUUAGUCGGCUGAUAUCUGUUACUGCUUUCUGAUUAAGUCAGUUGCAUUAUUUCAUGUUAUCAUUCCAACCUCAGAAAUGAGCACUGUCCUAUAAAAGGAAGCCUUGACAGUUAACAACUGUAGUGUGUACAAGUAAGCUAAGGUUUUGAUUUCAGCUACAGGAGUUUAAGACAUGUAAGUCUAUAAAAAUAUAUAAGCAAAUUAACUUAAUCCAAGUAUGAUGAAUUACAAAAUACAGCUAUCAUCAAACUAAAUUUAUUUUGUUCUCACAGCUGACUGACUGAAUUUUCACAGCUGAUUGUGAAAGCAUAGUGAGUGACUAAUUUCAAUUAAGUAUGUAAUCUCUUAUUGGUCAGCCAUAAAAUACACUGGAUAUUUCCUUAACCAACACCAAAUCCAAAAGGAAAAGAAUGAUCACCAAUGAUGACUGCUAUAGUACUUUUUGUACAUUGAAGAAUGUUGCUGACAGCUCCAGUGCCUGCGGUUCAGUCCUGACCUCCAGCCACAUUCUGUAUGGAGUAUUGCAUAUUCUCCUCAUUUAUGUGUAGGCUAUUUUCCAGAUACUCAGGUUUCCCCCCUUUUAAAAACAUGCUAGCUGAUUAGCUACACUAAUAGAGCGACUCAGUACAUAGAAUCUUUAUGAAAUUUCUCUGGAAAAGUGGAACUUCAGAAUCCUAUGGAAAGUGGUGAUAUUGUGGUGCUAUGUUCUUCCCCAGUACAUUUCAUUAUGAUUUUGCAAACUUUUUAUUUUACUUUGCGGAUAUUCACUACAAAAACUGAAUAACAAAAUUAUUUUGGAAUAUUUUGAAAAAGGGACAUAAUCAUUUCAUACAGUUUUAUUUUGUUACUGAAAACACAUUUGAAAAAAUUAUGAAUGAGUAUAAGUGAUUAUUUUAUCUUGUUUCAUUAAACAAAUCUAUUGUUGUUUUGUGGUCUCUGAACAGAUUACCUAGAAUCUUACAUGACUCAAGUCUAUACCCACUCUUUAGUUAACAGCCAUCAGAUUGUUAGUUUAUAUCUGAACAGGUGCAAAUAUUUUUCUGCAAAAUAUCUAUGCUUAUCUAAAUAUAUUCCAAAGAUGAAUAUUCUUGCAAGAAAGAAAAAAAAGAAUUUUGCAUUUAUUUACAAAGCCUCUUUGAUAUACUUACGAAAUGCAUGGUGAGGGAAAUUUAAACAGGAACCUUGAAUGAAUUUAAACUUUAACAAGGAACAUAAGAUAAAUAUCUUUAGACAAGUAAAAAAAAAAAGAAUCAUAUUUCAAUCCACAUUAGUUCAUUUCAGAUAAAAAUUAUGUAUGGACAAUAUAUCUUUCUUAUGACAACGUACCUCUCAAAAUGCUGUCAGUCUGAGUAAUGCCUGGUGGAUUUAAACUACUAUUGAUAGUUAUAUCAAUUACAUUUGGAUGUUCAAAUAUAAAAUUAAAGACAAAAAAUUGUUUUUGCUACAAUGGUCACAGACAGAUUAAU
Long non-coding RNA from Protopterus annectens (West African lungfish), 4421 nucleotides. RefSeq lists it as uncharacterized. The record is from RefSeq and is a predicted model, not a curated record. NCBI's taxonomy places the organism in Eukaryota, Metazoa, Chordata, Ceratodontiformes, Protopteridae. The transcript is spliced from 2 exons.